This 488-nucleotide ribosomal RNA is filed under the name Pseudomonas sp. DsF.N006. RNAcentral's name for it is "bacterial SSU rRNA". It matches the Rfam family "Bacterial small subunit ribosomal RNA", at positions 243 to 723 of the family's 1533-position model. The record is from RNAcentral. Lineage: Bacteria; Pseudomonadati; Pseudomonadota; Gammaproteobacteria; Pseudomonadales; Pseudomonadaceae.
AGCUAGUUGGUGAGGUAAUGGCUCACCAAGGCGACGAUCCGUAACUGGUCUGAGAGGAUGAUCAGUCACACUGGAACUGAGACACGGUCCAGACUCCUACGGGAGGCAGCAGUGGGGAAUAUUGGACAAUGGGCGAAAGCCUGAUCCAGCCAUGCCGCGUGUGUGAAGAAGGUCUUCGGAUUGUAAAGCACUUUAAGUUGGGAGGAAGGGCAGUAAGUUAAUACCUUGCUGUUUUGACGUUACCGACAGAAUAAGCACCGGCUAACUCUGUGCCAGCAGCCGCGGUAAUACAGAGGGUGCAAGCGUUAAUCGGAAUUACUGGGCGUAAAGCGCGCGUAGGUGGUUCGUUAAGUUGGAUGUGAAAGCCCCGGGCUCAACCUGGGAACUGCAUCCAAAACUGGCGAGCUAGAGUAUGGUAGAGGGUGGUGGAAUUUCCUUGUGUAGCGGUGAAAUGCGUAGAUAUAGGAAGGAACACCAGUGGCGAAGUA